Cornus florida is the source of this 1039-nucleotide long non-coding RNA. RefSeq lists it as uncharacterized. Lineage: Eukaryota; Viridiplantae; Streptophyta; Magnoliopsida; Cornales; Cornaceae. The transcript has 4 exons. The record is from RefSeq and is a predicted model, not a curated record.
CAGCCUCCCCAAUCGCCUCUGUCUCUAUUCUCGUUCUCAGAUCUGAACUUGCCCCCUCUCUCUCUCUCUCUCUCUCUGUGUAACUGCAGACUACAAAAUCUACAAGAAUCAGAAGUUUAAAACCUAUAUAUUUUAGUUUAUCUAUCUGUCUGCAAGAAUCAAAAGUUCAAAAUCUAUUACCUAUAUCAAAACCCAUAUUGGCGUAUCAUUUCAGGUUGUUCAAAAAAUCAAAACCCAUUAUCUUUCAGCUUCCAUCGCCCGCUGUUCCAGUUCGGGUUUGACGUUCGCAAGCUUCAGCCACUGGCCCGUUGUCUCUCAACUCGCAAGCUUGCCCACCUCUCUCUCUGCAACUGCUAACUUGGUUAGCAUCGGGCCUUAACAUUUAGCAAGAAUAAGGUUCAAGAAAUAUGCCUCCUCAAUCAUCAGGUCUCUUUUCUAAAAGAGUUGAUGGGAAUGGGUGGAGUAGGGGAAAAGAAAGAAAACAGCACUUUGUUUGAAGGGCGGGAAUUCAUUACUACGGACUCAAAUGGGCAAUAUAAAAAGAUUACGAUAUUUGAGAAAGUAUAUUACAAGCUCCCCUAGUUGCGGACGUAAGACACCGAUGGUGAAAUAAUUAGGACUACCUACAAUGACGAGGCUCACAACCAUUGAGAUGAGCUCAUGGUGAAAGAUCUUGAGUGUCGAUCUUUGGAGGUUCGUAUUAUUAGGCACAUUUGUUUCUCUCCGUUUUCCUGUCUUCUCUUCAUGGGGUGGGUUGAUCUUCUUGGACUGUUCUCAAAAAAACUUAAUGUAAAUGUGAUAGUGAAAUUUCUUGAAUACAUUAUCUUCAAAUUAUUGGUAUUAGAUAAAUUUAUUAGGCACAUUUGUUUCUCUCUGUUUUCAUGUCUUCUCUUCAUGGGUGGGUUGAUCUUCUUGGACAGUUCUCAAAAAGAUUUAAUGUAAAUGUGAUAGUGAAAUUUCUUGAAUACAUUAUUUUCAAAUUAUUGGUAUCAGAGAAAUUUAUUAUUUAAUGGAGUUUAUUUCGAGGAUUUAAUUAUUA